GACGAACGCUGGCGGCGUGCUUAACACAUGCAAGUCGAACGGAAAGGCCCUGCUUUUGUGGGGUGCUCGAUUGGCGAACGGGUGAGUAACACGUGAGUAACCUGCCCUUGACUUUGGGAUAUCUUCAGGAAACUGGGGCUAAUACCGGAUAGGAGCUCCUGCUGCAUGGUGGGGGUUGGAAAGUUUCGGCGGUUGGGGAUGGACUCGCGGCUUAUCAGCUUGUUGGUGGGGUAGUGGCUUACCAAGGCUUUGACGGGUAGCCGGCCUGAGAGGGUGACCGGGCACAUCACGCCGGAGAUAAGGCACAGACCAGACUGGGACGCAGCGGUGGAGAGUAGUGCACAAUAGGAUGGAGCCAGACGCGACAACGCCGUGUGCGGGAAGAGGGCCUUGGGGUUGUAAACCGAUGUCGCCUGAGACGAGGCGUUAGUGACGGUAAUGGGUAAAGAAGCACCGGCUAACUACGUG
RNAcentral lists this ribosomal RNA (468 nucleotides) under uncultured bacterium. RNAcentral describes it as "partial 16S ribosomal RNA". It matches the Rfam family "Bacterial small subunit ribosomal RNA", at positions 28 to 507 of the family's 1533-position model. The record is from RNAcentral.